This 497-nucleotide ribosomal RNA is filed under the name uncultured bacterium. Its description in RNAcentral is "partial 16S ribosomal RNA". It matches the Rfam family "Bacterial small subunit ribosomal RNA", at positions 28 to 507 of the family's 1533-position model. The record is from RNAcentral.
GAUGAACGCUGGCGGCGUGCCUAAUACAUGCAAGUCGAGCGAACGGACGAGAAGCUUGCUUCUCUGUUGUUAGCGGCGGACGGGUGAGUAACACGUGGAUAACCUACCUAUAAGACUGGGAUAACUUCGGGAAACCGGAGCUAAUACCGGAUAAUAUUUUGAACCGCAUGGUUCAAAAGUGAAAGACGGUCUUGCUGUCACUUAUAGAUGGAUCCGCGCUGCAUUAGCUAGUUGGUAAGGUAACGGCUUACCAAGGCAACGAUGCAUAGCCGACCUGAGAGGGUGAUCGGCCACACUGGAACUGAGACACGGUCCAGACUCCUACGGGAGGCAGCAGUAGGGAAUCUUCCGCAGUGGGCGAAAGCCUGACGGAGCAACGCCGCGUGAGUGAUGAAGGUCUUCGGAUCGUAAAACUCUGUUAUUAGGGAAGAACAUAUGUGUAAGUAACUGUGCACAUCUUGACGGUACCUAAUCAGAAAGCCACGGCUAACUACGUG